CACAACCGGCUGCUGUCCGCUUUCCUCAGCCUCUGGGCCAGGAACGUAAUGCACCUGCGGGGCUGGGCGAGGCAGGGCUGGGCUAGCAGGAGGCUGCGGGUCGGGAGCGAGGGGCACUGGCAGAGCUGGGGGUGGGGAGCCCAGGGCUAGGAUAGCAGGAGGCUGCGGGUCGGGAGCGAGGGGCACCAGCAGAGAAGGGAGGCUGGGUUAGCAGGGACUGUGGGUCUGGAGUGGGGAUCACUGGCAGAACUGCUAGGGACCCCCAGGCUGGCCUAGCAGGGGCUGCAGGUCGGGAGUGAGGGGCACCGGUAUUGCUGGGGGGCUGGGCAGAAAGGGAAAGCGGGUGGAUUCCUGCGGGGGGGGGGGGUGUUUCCCAGCCCAGGACAGAUGAUCCCGGCAGCCUGCAAUGGCAUCGGGGCAGUGGUGGGCGCUGCUGAGCAGUUCCAGGUGAUCUUCCCCCUUUGGGGGGCCCCAGGGCCUCACCUCAUUCCGCUACCCACGCUGCCCGGACACCCCUUGGCUCUGGCCGGAGCUGUGCAAACUCGGGCUCUUCUUGGACAAGGACCAGGCCACGUUGGAGGCCCAAAUCCUGGCACAGGAGGGGGUCAGGGGCAGUUACCGCCAGUGCCUGCGCUGCCAGCACCUCAUCCAGCCCCUGGACCCCAGGAUCCUGCGCACCCCCUGCCUGCCUUGCUCCCAGCGGGCCAGGGGGCUGUACUGCUUCUGCUGGGGCUGCGGCACGGAAUGGAGGGACCCCUCAUCCAAUGCUGACUCGUGAUGCCCCCUACAGGCCAUGCUGCAUGAUGCCCCCAAGAUUGUCCAUCGACAGCCACCCCUCGCUGCAGGCCUGUCCCUGUUGCCACGCCCUCCUGAGCAACAUUGGGAAAGGCUGCCCCCUGGUGGUAUGCCCUGAAUGUCUCUGGAGUACAAACAUCCCAGCUUGGAUGGGUCGUUCAGAGCUUCAGUUUCAAGCACAGUUCCUCCAGAGUGCUCGUCCAGGUCCUGGACCCAGGGACCCCACGCACCCCCUGCCUGCCCUGCUCCCAGCGGGCCGGGGAGCUGUACUGCUUCUGUUGGGGCUGCCACAUGGACUGGAAGGACCCCUCGUCCCAGUGCCUCCUACAGGCCGUGCUGUACAACGCCCCGGAGAUCCGGGCCUCGGGAUCGUCUGUCCAUGGCUGCCCCUUGCUGCGGGCCUGUCCCGAGUGCCACACCCUGGUGAGCCACACUGAGCUAGGCUUUCCCCUGGUGGCAUGCCUGGAGUACUGCAUGGCGUUCUGCUACCGCUGCCUGAAGACGGCCAUGGCACACUGUGUGCAGCACAGCGACCCUGUGCAUGGUGGAUAUGGAUCACCCUGCUACCCUGUCAGCCUGAGGCAGGAACCAUGACAGGAAAGCAGCACCCGACUGCGACGGGCGUGAGGGGCACAGCUCCUCCUGGGACUUGCUCUGGCCUGGGUUGAGCAUCACAGCCAAAGGGCUGGGCCCCAUCUCACCCUGGUUACUAGAUCCUCAGUUCCUCCCCUCGGCAUCUCAUGGCUCUUCAGGGCCAGGGCUGGGUCUGUCCAGCACUAGUCACAGUGGGGAAAAGUCAGAAUAAAGAAUCAUAAAUGGUGUGUCUGAGUUCUGGAUUUAGAGGGGCGUCCCAACGGUGAACCCCACUGAUAGCCAAGUGGCAGGGAGUCCCACUGGUGAACCCCAUCGAAUAACAUGGCAGGGAGUCCCAUAGGUUAAUCCCACUAACUAGGGGUCACACAUUUGUAGCAUCUGCAGGCUGAGCUCACUGCACACCCUGGGGGUUCCUGGCAUCCCUCCAUCCCCCUUCCCAUAUGCUACCUGCAUGCCACCCUCCCAGCCCCCUCUAUUUCAGGGAGUCCCUGCAACUCCUCUGUGAACCUACCCAUUCCCCCACCCCCAUUUGGCCCCCCCCAUGCCAGUGGCUGUGCGCACCCCCAUCCCUACUACCCCCUGCUCUGUCUGCCCCUUUUCCCCAUCACGGUCCCUGGGCAGGCUGCCCCUGCUGGGACCCUCCUUUAGUCCCCAGAGCGCUUCCCUCCCAUGCGACAAGCCAGCCCCUCCCCUUCCCUCUGGGGUGGGAUUCCUCAAGCCAGCUCUGUGGGUCACGCCACACUGGGUGCCACCCAGGUGCCCUAGUGGGGCAGGUGCAAUGUCAAAAACUGCUCCCGACAGAUUUGGCUACUUGUAGCAGCUACUGACGUCUGGGGUGUUCUUUUUAGCUGCCCUAUAACAAUUUGCUACCUCUUGUUUUUCCAUCUUCAGGUCAGGGUCGGCCGUUGUGACGGAUUGAGUCACUCCUGUCACAAUGUGCUACCGUUAUGAAAUCUCUGUUUUAAAUCUGGACACAACUAAAGAGAGGUAUUUUUCAAAAUCUGAAAACUUCAUUAUUGUACAAGGUCUAUAAACACGCAUAGCUUACUUUACAUGUCAACAUUAUUUAAAAAACAAGCAUCUAAACAUGUUUUUGGAUACAGAGUUAACAUUUUUUUCUUUACUCAAAUGUAUAUUCAAAUUGAACUUUAUUACUCAGUUAUAUUCCAACUGAAUAAUUCCAAGAAAGCCAAAAUAUUUCUCUUAAGAAAAUAAUUAUACACCAUAUGUUUUUUGUAAACAUUUCAACUGUGCACACUUUGUGCAGUUGUACUUUCUUCUGAUCAAUUAGGAUGUCUUCAUUGAUUCCCUCUGGAAGGCAGGGCUCACACUUGGAUAAGUAAUAGAUGAGAAAAUGACACAGAACUAAUAAUGCUAACUAUAAUGUCAAUUAACUCAUAACAUUUAUAAAACAAUAUUCAUUAGUCAAGAUAUGACUGUCAACAGCUGUGGAAAUAUUUACUAAUGUGGAAUUAUCACAAGAAUCCUGACCCUUAGCCAGGUUAUUCCAUCGGGUCUAUAUGCAGCUAACCACGACUUUUGUUCUUGUACUAUAAAUAAUCAUAUUCUGUGUCAAGUAUCGGGGGGUAGCCGUGUUAGUCUGUAUCUACAAAAACAACAAGGAGUCUGGUGGCACCUUAAAGACUAACAGAUUUAUUUGGGCAUAAGCUUUUGUGAGUAAAAACCUCACUUCUUCGGAUGCAUAGCACACAUAUUCUGUGUGUUUAUCUGCUCCAACAUACGCUGUGUGUUUCUGAUGCAACUUUGUAUUUCUUACCAUCAUGCAAUCUUAAUUUUCACCUUUGCAAAUAACACGGUUGCAGUACAUGCAGUACGCCUCCAUGCUUUCUGCAAAAUCAAUAUA
This is a non-coding RNA of Chrysemys picta bellii (western painted turtle), 3253 nucleotides long. The record is from RefSeq and is a predicted model, not a curated record. NCBI's taxonomy places the organism in Eukaryota, Metazoa, Chordata, Testudines, Emydidae.